GAUGAACGCUGGCGGCGUGCUUAACACAUGCAAGUCGAACGAGAAGUGAAGACGGAAACCUUCGGGCGGAAGACUUUAUUUCGAGUGGCGGACGGGUGAGUAACGUGUGGGUAACCUGCCUCAUACAGGGGGAUAACAGUUGGAAACGACUGUUAAUACCGCAUAAGACCACAGCACCGCAUGGUGCGGGGGUAAAAACUCCGGUGGUAUGAGAUGGACCCGCGUUCGAUUAGCCAGUUGGCGGGGUAACGGCCCACCAAAGCGACGAUCGAUAGCCGAUCUGAGAGGAUGACCGGCCACAUUGGGACUGAGACACGGCCCAAACUCCUACGGGAGGCAGCAGUGGGGAAUAUUGCACAAUGGGGGAAACCCUGAUGCAGCGACGCCGCGUGAGUGAAGAAGUAUUUCGGUAUGUAAAGCUCUAUCAGCAGGGAAGAAAANGACGGUACC
RNAcentral lists this ribosomal RNA (450 nucleotides) under uncultured bacterium. Its description in RNAcentral is "bacterial SSU rRNA". It matches the Rfam family "Bacterial small subunit ribosomal RNA", at positions 28 to 479 of the family's 1533-position model. The record is from RNAcentral.